Lolium rigidum is the source of this 750-nucleotide long non-coding RNA. RefSeq lists it as uncharacterized. The record is from RefSeq and is a predicted model, not a curated record. Lineage: Eukaryota; Viridiplantae; Streptophyta; Magnoliopsida; Poales; Poaceae. The transcript has 3 exons.
CCGGCAGCCGCAGCUCACCGCCCUCUUGGGUUGAUUAUGUUCGACGACCGGCGUCUUUGCGAGCUCGUCGAAAUCUGCAUCCCAAGGAGUACAAAGAAAUGUCCCAGAAAAGAAUUGAGCACUUGGCGUAGCACAUGAAGAGGCCUGAUCAGUUGACCAUUUUAGUUCAAGGAAUCCCACAACUGCGUACAUCAUGGAACUUAUGGGUGUCGACGUCAUGGUGACCACUACUCAAAGCACUAUCUUCAGAGGAGGGGAUGGUGAUGUUUGGUGCUCUCCACCUUCGUCGCGCGCAUGGCUGAGAUUGUGUGGUACCAUGCUGCAUGUCGGCGAGUGGGUGCUGGCCACCAGGACUCUUCAGCGCCAAUGCGAGCCACAAAGGUCUGUUCGUCCGCCACGAGCUGCAAGGAGGCUUGGCGGCUUUCUCCUCCUCGAACCCAUUGGACCAAGAAAUGGACAGGUUCCUUCAAAACAAAUAGGGAGAAGAAAUGGUCAGGUCUUGUGCUCCAGCAACACACCGACGCCUCUUGUGUGGCCUGGCUUAUUUAGAUGGGUCUCUCUUGAUGAUACAUGCUAGGUGCUCUGGCAAAUGCCUCGUGGCUGCGAGUUCUAGUGAAUGGCUCCAUCAGGAUACGGAGGAUGACUACAAUGGCAGUGGCUUCGCCUCCCCCACAUGGUAUACUUUGUAUCUUGACAUGUGCUGGGCUAUGGCUGGGAGGCUGAUGACUUCUCUCCCCUACCUAUGCCAAU